UCGCCGCGAUCCGAACACUU
This 20-nucleotide non-coding RNA is filed under the name Arabidopsis thaliana (thale cress). Lineage: Eukaryota; Viridiplantae; Streptophyta; Magnoliopsida; Brassicales; Brassicaceae. The record is from RNAcentral.